GUUCUCUAAUUAAUGUUUACAUUUAAAUACUUAUAAAAUCAUUUAAAUACUUAUAAAAACACCUAUUGUUCAUAUAAACAUCUAUUGAAAUAUUUUUGUUGGCAUUCAAAGAAUAGGUAACAUAUUAUAAAAUGUUUGCAUUCGAGGAAGUAAAGACACCCCGUGUAAGGGGUGUCAUCCCGAAUUUCCAGAAGAAAAAACGUCGAAUACCGAAAUGCCGAAAAAAAGCAUUUGUUUCCCCGAAUUCCGAAAAGUUUAUAAUAUAUUCCCGAGUUCAAAUUCGUGUAAAUCCCUAGUUCACACAAAAAUAUAGGUCUAACCGAACGUUCGGAAAAGGUCUGUUCUAGAGUUCAGUUUAAUUUUCAGAAAUUAAAAUCAUACAAAAAUGUUUCACACAAAUAUUCGCCUCCAGACACGUAAAUUGAUAUAAGUUACUAGCUGGUCUGGAUUGUGAUAGAAAAUAGCCAAUGUAAUGCAUAGAAUAUCUCAUGUCAUGGAUGGACUGUCUUACUCUAUAGGGAUGCUUAUGCGGCACAUUAAAUAUAAGUUUACCAAUUGUACUUCAGAAUUACCAAAAAAACUUAAAUUCACUCGAAUACAUUGAUCAGCUAUUUUGUCGACUUAAAACCCUGCCAAUCAGAUGGCUUAUAUUCUAAGACGAGACCUUAAUAAAAUUUGAAAUAUAUUUCACGGGAACUAAGAUUUUGUAGGAAAAUUG
This 718-nucleotide long non-coding RNA is filed under the name Mytilus galloprovincialis (Mediterranean mussel). The record is from RNAcentral. Lineage: Eukaryota; Metazoa; Mollusca; Bivalvia; Mytilida; Mytilidae.